RNAcentral lists this ribosomal RNA (164 nucleotides) under Eutrema salsugineum. RNAcentral's name for it is "partial 18S ribosomal RNA". The stretch from base 86 to 164 matches the Rfam family "Eukaryotic small subunit ribosomal RNA", at positions 1 to 79 of the family's 1831-position model. Lineage: Eukaryota; Viridiplantae; Streptophyta; Magnoliopsida; Brassicales; Brassicaceae. The record is from RNAcentral.
AAAAGAUGACGGUCAAGACCUCGUCUGUUCUUUCUUACAUACGUUUGCGAGAAUUAGUCGGGGUCUUGCCGUGAUUAAUGAAUGCUACCUGGUUGAUCCUGCCAGUAGUCAUAUGCUUGUCUCAAAGAUUAAGCCAUGCAUGUGUAAGUAUGAACGAAUUCAGA